GCCAAUGUAGCUCAAUGGUAGAGCAAGUGAUUUGUAAUCACUAGGUUGGGGGUUCAAUUCCCUUCAUUGGCUCCA
This 75-nucleotide transfer RNA is filed under the name Candidatus Cloacimonadota bacterium. RNAcentral describes it as "tRNA-Thr". It matches the Rfam family "tRNA". Rfam says of the family: Transfer RNA (tRNA) molecules are approximately 80 nucleotides in length. Their secondary structure includes four short double-helical elements and three loops (D, anti-codon, and T loops). Further hydrogen bonds mediate the characteristic L-shaped molecular structure. tRNAs have two regions of fundamental functional importance: the anti-codon, which is responsible for specific mRNA codon recognition, and the 3' end, to which the tRNAs corresponding amino acid is attached (by aminoacyl-tRNA synthetases). tRNAs cope with the degeneracy of the genetic code in two manners: having more than one tRNA (with a specific anti-codon) for a particular amino acid; and 'wobble' base-pairing, i.e. permitting non-standard base-pairing at the 3rd anti-codon position. RNAcentral also lists the same sequence under 1 other name. The record is from RNAcentral. Lineage: Bacteria; Pseudomonadati; Candidatus Cloacimonadota.